Molecule: ribosomal RNA, 406 nt
Filed under: uncultured bacterium
Lineage: Bacteria
Description: partial 16S ribosomal RNA
Rfam family: Bacterial small subunit ribosomal RNA
Source: RNAcentral
AUUGAACGCUGGCGGCAGGCCUAACACAUGCAAGUCGAACGAGUGGCGGACGGGUGAGUUAUGUCUGGGAACCUGCCUGAUGGAGGGGGAUAACUACUGGAACCGGUAGUUAAUACCGCAUACCAUCAGAUGUUCCCAGAUGGGAUUAGCUUGUUGGUGGGGUGACGGCUCACCAAGGCGACGAUCCCUAGCUGGUCUGAGAGGAUGACCGUCCGCACUGCGACUGAGAGACGGUCCAGACUCCUCAGAGAGGCAGCGGUGGGGAAUAGUGCACAAUGGGCGCAAGGCUGCUAGAGCCAUGCCGCGUGUAUGAAGAGGGCCUUCGGGUGGUACAGUACUUUCAGCGGGGAGGCGUUACCCGCAGAAGAAGCACCGGCUAACUCCGUGCCAGCCGCCGCGGUAAUUC